RNAcentral lists this ribosomal RNA (506 nucleotides) under uncultured bacterium. Its description in RNAcentral is "partial 16S ribosomal RNA". It matches the Rfam family "Bacterial small subunit ribosomal RNA", at positions 355 to 877 of the family's 1533-position model. The record is from RNAcentral.
UGGGGAAUAUUGCACAAUGGGCGAAAGCCUGAUGCAGCAACGCCGCGUGAGUGAUGAAGGUCUUCGGAUUGUAAAGCUCUGUCUUUUGGGACGAUAAUGACGGUACCAAAGGAGGAAGCCACGGCUAACUACGUGCCAGCAGCCGCGGUAAUACGUAGGUGGCGAGCGUUGUCCGGAUUUACUGGGCGUAAAGGGUGCGUAGGCGGAUGUUUAAGUGAGAUGUGAAAUACCCGGGCUUAACUUGGGUGCUGCAUUUCAAACUGGAUAUCUAGAGUGCAGGAGAGGAGAAUGGAAUUCCUAGUGUAGCGGUGAAAUGCGUAGAGAUUAGGAAGAACACCAGUGGCGAAGGCGAUUCUCUGGACUGUAACUGACGCUGAGGCACGAAAGCGUGGGUAGCAAACAGGAUUAGAUACCCUGGUAGUCCACGCCGUAAACGAUGAGUACUAGGUGUAGGAGGUAUCGACCCCUUCUGUGCCGCAGUAAACACAUUAAGUACUCCGCCUGGG